UUAAGCGACUAAGCGUACACGGUGGAUGCCCUGGCAGUCAGAGGCGAUGAAGGACGUGCUAAUCUGCGAUAAGCGUCGGUGAGGUGAUAUGAACCGUUAUAACCGGCGAUUUCCGAAUGGGGAAACCCAGUGUGAUUCGUCACACUAUCAUUAACUGAAUCCAUAGGUUAAUGAGGCGAACCGGGGGAACUGAAACAUCUAAGUACCCCGAGGAAAAGAAAUCAACCGAGAUUCCCCCAGUAGCGGCGAGCGAACGGGGAGGAGCCCAGAGCCUGAAUCAGUGUGUGUGUUAGUGGAAGCGUCUGGAAAGGCGCGCGAUACAGGGUGACAGCCCCGUACACAAAAAUGCACAUAUUGUGAGCUCGAUGAGUAGGGCGGGACACGUGGUAUCCUGUCUGAAUAUGGGGGGACCAUCCUCCAAGGCUAAAUACUCCUGACUGACCGAUAGUGAACCAGUACCGUGAGGGAAAGGCGAAAAGAACCCCGGCGAGGGGAGUGAAAAAGAACCUGAAACCGUGUACGUACAAGCAGUGGGAGCCUCUUAAUGGGGUGACUGCGUACCUUUUGUAUAAUGGGUCAGCGACUUAUAUUCUGUAGCAAGGUUAACCGAAUAGGGGAGCCGAAGGGAAACCGAGUCUUAACUGGGCGUUAAGUUGCAGGGUAUAGACCCGAAACCCGGUGAUCUAGCCAUGGGCAGGUUGAAGGUUGGGUAACACUAACUGGAGGACCGAACCGACUAAUGUUGAAAAAUUAGCGGAUGACUUGUGGCUGGGGGUGAAAGGCCAAUCAAACCGGGAGAUAGCUGGUUCUCCCCGAAAGCUAUUUAGGUAGCGCCUCGUGAAUUCAUCUCCGGGGGUAGAGCACUGUUUCGGCAAGGGGGUCAUCCCGACUUACCAACCCGAUGCAAACUGCGAAUACCGGAGAAUGUUAUCACGGGAGACACACGGCGGGUGCUAACGUCCGUCGUGAAGAGGGAAACAACCCAGACCGCCAGCUAAGGUCCCAAAGUCAUGGUUAAGUGGGAAACGAUGUGGGAAGGCCCAGACAGCCAGGAUGUUGGCUUAGAAGCAGCCAUCAUUUAAAGAAAGCGUAAUAGCUCACUGGUCGAGUCGGCCUGCGCGGAAGAUGUAACGGGGCUAAACCAUGCACCGAAGCUGCGGCAGCGACACUAUGUGUUGUUGGGUAGGGGAGCGUUCUGUAAGCCUGUGAAGGUGGCCUGUGAGGGUUGCUGGAGGUAUCAGAAGUGCGAAUGCUGACAUAAGUAACGAUAAAGCGGGUGAAAAGCCCGCUCGCCGGAAGACCAAGGGUUCCUGUCCAACGUUAAUCGGGGCAGGGUGAGUCGACCCCUAAGGCGAGGCCGAAAGGCGUAGUCGAUGGGAAACAGGUUAAUAUUCCUGUACUUGGUGUUACUGCGAAGGGGGACGGAGAAGGCUAUGUUGGCCGGGCGACGGUUGUCCCGGUUUAAGCGUGUAGGCUGGUUUUCCAGGCAAAUCCGGAAAAUCAAGGCUGAGGCGUGAUGACGAGGCACUACGGUGCUGAAGCGACAAAUGCCCUGCUUCCAGGAAAAGCCUCUAAGCAUCAGGUAACAUCAAAUCGUACCCCAAACCGACACAGGUGGUCAGGUAGAGAAUACCAAGGCGCUUGAGAGAACUCGGGUGAAGGAACUAGGCAAAAUGGUGCCGUAACUUCGGGAGAAGGCACGCUGAUAUGUAGGUGAAGCGACUUGCUCGUGGAGCUGAAAUCAGUCGAAGAUACCAGCUGGCUGCAACUGUUUAUUAAAAACACAGCACUGUGCAAACACGAAAGUGGACGUAUACGGUGUGACGCCUGCCCGGUGCCGGAAGGUUAAUUGAUGGGGUUAGCGGUAACGCGAAGCUCUUGAUCGAAGCCCCGGUAAACGGCGGCCGUAACUAUAACGGUCCUAAGGUAGCGAAAUUCCUUGUCGGGUAAGUUCCGACCUGCACGAAUGGCGUAAUGAUGGCCAGGCUGUCUCCACCCGAGACUCAGUGAAAUUGAACUCGCUGUGAAGAUGCAGUGUACCCGCGGCAAGACGGAAAGACCCCGUGAACCUUUACUAUAGCUUGACACUGAACAUUGAGCCUUGAUGUGUAGGAUAGGUGGGAGGCUUUGAAGUGUGGACGCCAGUCUGCAUGGAGCCGACCUUGAAAUACCACCCUUUAAUGUUUGAUGUUCUAACGUGGGCCCCUUACCGGGGUUGCGGACAGUGUCUGGUGGGUAGUUUGACUGGGGCGGUCUCCUCCUAAAGAGUAACGGAGGAGCACGAAGGUUGGCUAAUCCUGGUCGGACAUCAGGAGGUUAGUGCAAUGGCAUAAGCCAGCUUGACUGCGAGCGUGACGGCGCGAGCAGGUGCGAAAGCAGGUCAUAGUGAUCCGGUGGUUCUGAAUGGAAGGGCCAUCGCUCAACGGAUAAAAGGUACUCCGGGGAUAACAGGCUGAUACCGCCCAAGAGUUCAUAUCGACGGCGGUGUUUGGCACCUCGAUGUCGGCUCAUCACAUCCUGGGGCUGAAGUAGGUCCCAAGGGUAUGGCUGUUCGCCAUUUAAAGUGGUACGCGAGCUGGGUUUAGAACGUCGUGAGACAGUUCGGUCCCUAUCUGCCGUGGGCGCUGGAGAACUGAGGGGGGCUGCUCCUAGUACGAGAGGACCGGAGUGGACGCAUCACUGGUGUUCGGGUUGUCAUGCCAAUGGCACUGCCCGGUAGCUAAAUGCGGAAGAGAUAAGUGCUGAAAGCAUCUAAGCACGAAACUUGCCCCGAGAUGAGUUCUCCCUGACUCCUUGAGAGUCCUGAAGGAACGUUGAAGACGACGACGUUGAUAGGCCGGGUGUGUAAGCGCAGCGAUGCGUUGAGCUAACCGGUACUAAUGAACCGUGAGGCUUAACCU
RNAcentral lists this ribosomal RNA (2900 nucleotides) under Escherichia coli. RNAcentral's name for it is "23S ribosomal RNA". It matches the Rfam family "Bacterial large subunit ribosomal RNA". The record is from RNAcentral. Lineage: Bacteria; Pseudomonadati; Pseudomonadota; Gammaproteobacteria; Enterobacterales; Enterobacteriaceae.